RNAcentral lists this ribosomal RNA (587 nucleotides) under uncultured bacterium. Its description in RNAcentral is "bacterial SSU rRNA". It matches the Rfam family "Bacterial small subunit ribosomal RNA", at positions 337 to 917 of the family's 1533-position model. The record is from RNAcentral.
UCCUACGGAAGGCAGCAGUGGGGAAUUUUGGACAAUGGGCGAAAGCCUGAUCCAGCCAUGCCGCGUGCAGGAUGAAGGCCUUCGGGUUGUAAACUGCUUUUGUACGGAACGAAAAGACUCUGGUUAAUACCUGGGGUCCAUGACGGUACCGUAAGAAUAAGCACCGGCUAACUACGUGCCAGCAGCCGCGGUAAUACGUAGGGUGCAAGCGUUAAUCGGAAUUACUGGGCGUAAAGCGUGCGCAGGCGGUUAUAUAAGACAGAUGUGAAAUCCCCGGGCUCAACCUGGGAACUGCAUUUGUGACUGUAUAGCUAGAGUACGGCAGAGGGGGAUGGAAUUCCGCGUGUAGCAGUGAAAUGCGUAGAUAUGCGGAGGAACACCGAUGGCGAAGGCAAUCCCCUGGGCCUGUACUGACGCUCAUGCACGAAAGCGUGGGGAGCAAACAGGAUUAGAUACCCUGGUAGUCCACGCCCUAAACGAUGUCAACUGGUUGUUGGGUCUUCACUGACUCAGUAACGAAGCUAACGCGUGAAGUUGACCGCCUGGGGAGUACGGCCGCAAGGUUAAAACUCAAAUGAAUUGACGGA